GGGGUUGUGGCUCAGUGGUAGAGUGCUCACCCCGCAUGUGCGAGACCCUGGGUUCAAUCCCCAGCACCA
RNAcentral lists this transfer RNA (69 nucleotides) under Ictidomys tridecemlineatus (thirteen-lined ground squirrel). RNAcentral describes it as "Spermophilus tridecemlineatus (thirteen-lined ground squirrel) tRNA". It matches the Rfam family "tRNA". Rfam says of the family: Transfer RNA (tRNA) molecules are approximately 80 nucleotides in length. Their secondary structure includes four short double-helical elements and three loops (D, anti-codon, and T loops). The record is from Rfam by way of RNAcentral. Lineage: Eukaryota; Metazoa; Chordata; Mammalia; Rodentia; Sciuridae.